This 117-nucleotide ribosomal RNA is filed under the name Pteropus alecto (black flying fox). The record is from RNAcentral. Lineage: Eukaryota; Metazoa; Chordata; Mammalia; Chiroptera; Pteropodidae.
GUCUAUGGCCAUGCCGCCCUGAACAAGCCCCAUGUCUGAUCUUGGAAGCUAAGCAGGGUCGGGCCUGGUUAGUACUUGGAUGGGAGACGACCUAGGAAGACCAGGCACUUGUAGUCA